GAUGAACGCUGGCGGCGUGCCUAAUACAUGCAAAUCGAGCGAACGGACGAGAAGCUUGCUUCUCUGAUGUUAGCGGCGGACGGGUGAGUAACACGUGGAUAACCUACUUAUAAGACUGGGAUAACUUCGGGAAACCGGAGCUAAUACCGGAUAAUAUUUUGAACCGCAUGGUUCAAAAGUGAAAGACGGUCUUGCUGUCACUUAUAGAUGGAUCCGCGCUGCAUUAGCUAGUUGGUAAGGUAACGGCUUACCAAGGCAACGAUGCAUAGCCGACCUGAGAGGGUGAUCGGCCACACUGGAACUGAGACACGGUCCAGACUCCUACGGGAGGCAGCAGUAGGGAAUCUUCCGCAAUGGGCGAAAGCCUGACGGAGCAACGCCGCGUGAGUGAUGAAGGUCUUCGGAUCGUAAAACUCUGUUAUUAGGGAAGAACAUAUGUGUAAGUAACUGUGCACAUCUUGACGGUACCUAAUCAGAAAGCCACGGCUAACUACGUG
RNAcentral lists this ribosomal RNA (497 nucleotides) under uncultured bacterium. Its description in RNAcentral is "partial 16S ribosomal RNA". It matches the Rfam family "Bacterial small subunit ribosomal RNA", at positions 28 to 507 of the family's 1533-position model. The record is from RNAcentral.